This 253-nucleotide ribosomal RNA is filed under the name uncultured bacterium. Its description in RNAcentral is "partial 16S ribosomal RNA". It matches the Rfam family "Bacterial small subunit ribosomal RNA", at positions 524 to 776 of the family's 1533-position model. The record is from RNAcentral.
UACGUAGGGUGCGAGCGUUAAUCGGAAUUACUUGGCGUAAAGCGUGCGCAGGCGGUUGUGCAAGACAGAUGUGAAAUCCCCGGGCUUAACCUGGGAACUGCAUUUGUGACUGCACGGCUAGAGUGUGUCAGAGGGGGGUAGAAUUCCACGUGUAGCAGUGAAAUGCGUAGAUAUGUGGAGGAAUACCGAUGGCGAAGGCAGCCCCCUGGGAUAACACUGACGCUCAUGCACGAAAGCGUGGGGAGCAAACAGG